This 306-nucleotide ribosomal RNA is filed under the name uncultured bacterium. RNAcentral's name for it is "partial 16S ribosomal RNA". It matches the Rfam family "Bacterial small subunit ribosomal RNA", at positions 507 to 807 of the family's 1533-position model. The record is from RNAcentral.
GACAGCAGUCGCCGCGGUAAUACGAAGGGGGCUAGCGUUGUUCGGAUUUACUGGGCGUAAAGGGCGCGUAGGCGGACUGAUAAGUCAGGGGUGAAAUCCCAGAGCUCAACUCUGGAACUGCCUUUGAUACUGGGUAUCUUGAGUAUGGAAGAGGUGAGUGGAAUUCCGAGUGUAGAGGUGAAAUUCGUAGAUAUUCGGAGGAACACCAGUGGCGAAGGCGGCUCACUGGUCCAUUACUGACGCUGAGGUGCGAAAGCGUGGGGAGCAAACAGGAUUAGAUACCCCAGUAGUCCCUGUCUCUUAUAC